RNAcentral lists this small RNA (83 nucleotides) under Yersinia pestis. RNAcentral's name for it is "isrK". The record is from RNAcentral. Lineage: Bacteria; Pseudomonadati; Pseudomonadota; Gammaproteobacteria; Enterobacterales; Yersiniaceae. RNAcentral also lists the same sequence under 12 other names.
GCUGCGGCAAAAUCCGUAGCCGGAAUUAGCGUUCCGAAAAUCUUCUUGAUACCUAGCCUCGUCAUUCAGACAUGGUCUUUUAU